RNAcentral lists this long non-coding RNA (1311 nucleotides) under Anser brachyrhynchus (Pink-footed goose). RNAcentral describes it as "lncRNA (ENSABRG00000007420.1)". The record is from RNAcentral. Lineage: Eukaryota; Metazoa; Chordata; Aves; Anseriformes; Anatidae.
GGCAGCACCUGGUGGGUAUAUUUCACUCUGUCCGCCAUAAGACUUGGGAAGCUGAGGUUCUAAAUCCAUGUGUGGACACACCGUAACCUACACAGCUUGUGUUCACAGCUUGUUGUGAACUUGUGUUCAGCUCCCGCACAGCGCUGCUUGCAGCUGGGCGAGUUCAAGGCAGGAGGCAUAGCCCAAGCAGUGCUGGCUGCCUUUCCCAGUGCUGGCACUCAGGUGGAGAUGCUGCGUUUGCAGACAUUUCUGCUUCUGCUCAAUCUGCAGUUUGAAUGAUGAAUGUAGAAUGUAGAAUGAUCUACAGUUGAUGAAUGAUUCAAUAAGGAAUUAGGCAAUGUCUCCAGAUCAGCUGCCCUUGUCCCUAAGUGGGUGGGUGACUUUGGGUUGCCAGAUGUCAGCAGGGAAGGAUAAGGAGCAGACACAAACAGGUCCAGGAAAUUCCUAAAGCACCUUGAUGAUAACUUCUUGAUCCAGGUACUAAGGGAGCUGACUCGGAAAGGUGCCCUUCUAGAUUGCUGCUUGUAAACCGAGAAUGUCUCCUGCGUGAAGUGGCAAAUGGCAGCCAUCUUGGCUAUGGUGGCCACAAAGACGUCGAGCUUAAAAUCUUUGGCGGUAGUAAGAAAACUGUGAGCAAAACUUCCACCCUGGACAUGGGGGGAGCAGACUUCAGGCUGGGCAAGGAACUAGUUCAUAAGACUCCCUUGGGAAUCUGCUUCUGAAAGUAUCAGGGACCUUCAGUGCUGGUCCCUUUUCAAGAGCCAUCUCUUGAGCGUGCAGGAGCAGGCUAUUCCCAAGUGUCGAAGUCAAGUGGGCAGGGCAGAAGGCUGGCUUGGCUGAGCAUGGAUCUUCGCUUAAAGCCUAGGUGAAAAACAAAAGUUGUGUGGAUACUGGAAACGAGGUCAGGCAAUGCAGGAGGAUUGCAGAGAUGCUGUUCACCAUUGCAGGGAGAAAAUUCAUGUAGCCAGAGCCGAGUAAGGGUAGAAGUUGGUCACUACUGUGGGGAGUCCCAGUCCUGCUGAGAACACCCGUAAUAGCCCUGCUAUCUUCAUCGAGCUCUGAGGACAGCAUAUCCGAGGAUGCCAGUGAGACGACAGCCGGACUUCAACCACUGAGUUCAAAAUCAAGAAGACUGCAGAAGUUAGAGGCUGAAAAGUUCUGGCCAGUUCCGCAAGAACCUCCAGAGAUGAUGGCGUUGGCAUCUAAUUCUGAGGCCAGCAGUCCCGAGGAGCCCAGCACCACCUCUGUGUUGGUGGCAGUGACACACAAGGGGGCCAGGUCCAAGCAGUAUCAACCACCAAAGACCAGACC